UACGUAGGGUCCAAGCGUUGUCCGGAAUUAUUGGGCGUAAAGAGCUCGUAGGCGGUCAGUCGCGUCUGCUGUGAAAACUCGGGGCUUAACUCCGGGCCUGCAGUGGGUACGGGCUGACUAGAGUGCGGUAGGGGAGACUGGAAUUCCUGGUGUAGCGGUGAAAUGCGCAGAUAUCAGGAGGAACACCGGUGGCGAAGGCGGGUCUCUGGGCCGUAACUGACGCUGAGGAGCGAAAGCGUGGGGAGCGAACAGG
RNAcentral lists this ribosomal RNA (253 nucleotides) under uncultured bacterium. RNAcentral's name for it is "partial 16S ribosomal RNA". It matches the Rfam family "Bacterial small subunit ribosomal RNA", at positions 524 to 776 of the family's 1533-position model. The record is from RNAcentral.